AAAUGAAUUGACGGGGGCCCGCACAAGCGGUGGAGCAUGUGGUUUAAUUCGAUGAUACGCGAGGAACCUUACCUGGGCUCAAAUGCAAGUUGACGUAUGGUGAAAGCUGUAUUUCUUCGGACAAUUUGCAAGGUGCUGCAUGGUUGUCGUCAGCUCGUGCCGUGAGGUGUCGGGUUAAGUCCCAUAACGAGCGCAACCCCUAUUCUUAGUUGCCAUCAGGUCAAGCUGGGGACUCUAGGAAAACUGCCUACGCAAGUAGAGAGGAAGGUGGGGAUGACGUCAAAUCAGCACGGCCCUUACGUCCAGGGCUACACACGUGCUACAAUGGCCAGUACAAAGGGCAGCUACCUGGUGACAGGAUGCUAAUCUCAAAAGCUGGUCUCAGUUCGGAUCGAAGUCUGCAACUCGACUUCGUGAAGCUGGAAUCGCUAGUAAUCGCGCAUCAGCCAUGGCGCGGUGAAUACGUUCCCGGGCCUUGUACACACCGCCCGU
Molecule: ribosomal RNA, 492 nt
Filed under: uncultured bacterium
Lineage: Bacteria
Description: bacterial SSU rRNA
Rfam family: Bacterial small subunit ribosomal RNA
Source: RNAcentral